RNAcentral lists this small RNA (385 nucleotides) under Arabidopsis thaliana (thale cress). Its description in RNAcentral is "ATSL225170". The record is from RNAcentral. Lineage: Eukaryota; Viridiplantae; Streptophyta; Magnoliopsida; Brassicales; Brassicaceae.
AAGAAGGAAAUAAAACCCAAUUUGUCGUAAUAAAAGUUAGAUUCAUUUUUGUAAGGCUUUUGAUAGAGAGUGUUCCAAUUUUCUUAUUCAUGACUGAAUCUCAAUGCAAAAUAAAUAAGGUUUUUGGUCCGUUCAAGGAGUGAAGGUACUAUGUUAAACUCUAGCAAAGCAAUGAAACAACGAAAGUCCUAGAGACAAAAUAUAGUGAAGGGUAGUCACAUCAUGGAAUGCAAGGAAACACUUUACCAGGAUUUCGUCUGGCAGUGCACGAAAACAAAGAUGAUUACAUCAGUCGGUUUCUUAAAUUUUGGUGAAGUAUCUGCUGCAUUUUUACUAACUACGAAAGAUAUAUUCAAUGAGUAUGAGCUAUGAAAGUAAGGGUGGC